Molecule: ribosomal RNA, 597 nt
Filed under: Rhionaeschna diffinis
Lineage: Eukaryota; Metazoa; Arthropoda; Insecta; Odonata; Aeshnidae
Description: eukaryotic LSU rRNA
Rfam family: Eukaryotic large subunit ribosomal RNA
Source: RNAcentral
GCGACCGAGUAGGAGGGUCGCGGCGGUGAGCGCAGAAGGGUCUGGGCUCGAGCCUGCCUGGAGCCGCCGCCGGUGCAGAUCUUGGUGGUAGUAGCAAAUACUCCAGCGAGGCCCUGGAGGACUGAUGUGGAGAAGGGUUUCGUGUGAACAGCCGUUGCACACGAGUCAGUCGAUCCUAAGCCCUAUGAGAAAUCCGAUACUAACGGCGAUGGGAAAAAUUUUUCACGAUGUAAAACGGCCCAUUGAUCGGGCGAAAGGGAAUCCGGUUCCUAUUCCGGAACCCGGCAGCGGAACCGUAGUUUGUCGGGCCUUCGGGUUCGUCAGGGUAACCUAAAAGGGCCCGGAGACGCCGUCGGGAGCCCCGGAAAGAGUUUUCUUUUCUGCAUGAGCGUUCGAGUUCCCUGGAAUCCUCUCGCAGGGAGAUAGGGUUUGGAACGCGAAGAGCACCGCAGUUGCGGCGGUGCCCGGGAAUUCCCGACGGACCUUGAAAAUCCGGGAGAGGGCCACGUGGAGGUGUCGCGCCGGCUCGUACCCAUAUCCGCAGCAGGUCUCCAAGGUGAAGAGCCUCUAGUCCAUAGAAUAAUGUAGGUAAGGGAA